CCUACGGGGGGCUGCAGUGGGGAAUAUUGGACAAUGGGGGCAACCCUGAUCCAGCCAUGCCGCGUGUGUGAAGAAGGCCCUCGGGUUGUAAAGCACUUUCAGUGAGGAAGAACGCCUGGUGGUUAAUACCCAUCAGGAAAGACAUCACUCACAGAAGAAGCACCGGCUAACUCCGUGCCAGCAGCCGCGGUAAUACGGAGGGUGCGAGCGUUAAUCGGAAUUACUGGGCGUAAAGCGCGCGUAGGUGGCUUGAUAAGCCGGUUGUGAAAGCCCCGGGCUCAACCUGGGAACGGCAUCCGGAACUGUCAAGCUAGAGUGCAGGAGAGGUAGGUAGAAUUCCCGGUGUAGCGGUGAAAUGCGUAGAGAUCGGGAGGAAUACCAGUGGCGAAGGCGGCCUUCUGGACUGACACUGACACUGAGGUGCGAAAGCGUGGGUAGCAAACAGGAAUAGAUACCCCAGUAGUC
RNAcentral lists this ribosomal RNA (465 nucleotides) under Vreelandella stevensii. RNAcentral describes it as "partial 16S ribosomal RNA". It matches the Rfam family "Bacterial small subunit ribosomal RNA", at positions 338 to 795 of the family's 1533-position model. Lineage: Bacteria; Pseudomonadati; Pseudomonadota; Gammaproteobacteria; Oceanospirillales; Halomonadaceae. The record is from RNAcentral.